GACGAACGCUGGCGGCGUGCUUAACACAUGCAAGUCGAACGGAAAGGCCCUGCUUGCAGGGUACUCGAGUGGCGAACGGGUGAGUAACACGUGGGUGAUCUGCCCUGCACUUCGGGAUAAGCCUGGGAAACUGGGUCUAAUACCGGAUAGGAGCCAUUUUUAGUGUGAUGGUUGGAAAGUUGUUUCGGUGUAGGAUGAGCUCGCGGCCUAUCAGCUUGUUGGUGGGGUAAUGGCCUACCAAGGCGGCGACGGGUAGCCGGCCUGGGAGGGUGGACGGCCACAUGGGACCUGGAAUAGGGCCCGACCCCCAAGGGGAGGCGACGGUGGGGAUUUUUGAAAAAGGGGGGAAGGCCUAUUGCGGCGCCGCCGGGUGGGGAGUGAGGGCCUUGGGGUUGUAAACUCUUUUCCCUGGGAAGGAGGUUUUUGUGACGGUACCUAGAUAAGAAGCACCGGCUAACUACGUG
RNAcentral lists this ribosomal RNA (464 nucleotides) under uncultured bacterium. Its description in RNAcentral is "partial 16S ribosomal RNA". It matches the Rfam family "Bacterial small subunit ribosomal RNA", at positions 28 to 507 of the family's 1533-position model. The record is from RNAcentral.